GGAACGGCAUCAUUUAGACUUCAAUACUUCAUUCUAAAAAAUAUCGCGUCACCUAUUUGAAUUGAUGAAAAUAUUAAUAUUAAAUUAUUGAUGGAAGCACAUUAAUUUUAGAUAAUUCUAAAGUGAAAACUUUUAGAGCUUUCAGACGAGUAAAUCUUUUUUUUUUUUGUGCAGGUUAAAAAAUAAAUUCAAAAUUUGUAACUUAUAAGAUUUAGAUUUUUUUGCAUUAAACUGACUAAAAAAAAUAAAUAAGCUUAAGUGGACUAACAUUGGACUUAAAAUCAAUAUUGGGUCAACAUUAAAAUCCAAACCACCACAA
RNAcentral lists this long non-coding RNA (319 nucleotides) under Elaeis guineensis (African oil palm). Its description in RNAcentral is "long non-coding RNA (EGUI_LNC000522)". Lineage: Eukaryota; Viridiplantae; Streptophyta; Magnoliopsida; Arecales; Arecaceae. The record is from RNAcentral.